RNAcentral lists this long non-coding RNA (975 nucleotides) under Ficedula albicollis (Collared flycatcher). RNAcentral describes it as "lncRNA (ENSFALG00000023559.1)". The record is from RNAcentral. Lineage: Eukaryota; Metazoa; Chordata; Aves; Passeriformes; Muscicapidae.
UAUAAAUAACUUAUGUUAUAGCUUUUGUUUGUAGAAAUGUAACUUACAUAUUUUAUUAUGCUUUCUGUAAACCUCAAAAAGAAUUGUGUCAAAGCAAUGCCUCUUAACAGCAGUCUCCACCCUGGUACAUAAAACCUACAGCAGCAUUAUUUUUUAAUAGGGUGAGGAAGCGUGUUAUCCUGCCGCAGUGAGAGGUUCGCUGCCAUCGUCAGCUCCUUGUGCAUCGAAACAUUGCCCAAGCCCAGGAAUGACUGUGUGAGGUGCUCAGCAUUCCUGCAGCUCAGGCCCUUUGGCUGAAAUCCUUUCUCAAGCUGAGCUCAAAUGUGAGCAGCAAACUGACAGAACACCUUCCUCCAGCUGUACUUCCUGCCCCUGGGAAAUGUGCAGAAAAGUAACAAUUGCAAAGAAGAAAACUGGAAAAGCCCUGAAAUAAAUACAGGUAUGAACUUUUCCUCCCUGUUGGCCACAAUUAAUAAUUCCCAUUUUUAUCUAAGCAGUGGUGAAAUGUUAUUGAAUUCACAAAUAUCAGCAAACGUGACAAACAUGUGAAAUCUUUUUUUUUUUCCUCGGGUGAAAUAAACCCAACUCAAUCCCAAAGCAGGUUUUUAAUCGCACGUAAUAGAUAUUCUACGUAAUAAACAGAGUUAUUGCUUAAGCUUUUUUUUUUUUCCUCAGGUGAAUUAAACCCAACUCAAUCCCAAAGCAGGUUUUUAAUCGCACAUAAUAGAUAUUCUACAUAAUAAACAGAGUUAUUGCUUAAGCUGUUCUGAUUUUUUUAGGUCUUCUUUCAAUUUUUUUUUGCAUGUCCCCAGCCAGCAGAGGCCCUCCUGCCCAGCACAGGACACCCACUGCUCCCCAGUGAGAAUGAACCGUUCUGAUGACCCUGUGCCCACGUACUUGGCAAGGUUCCUGAGCAGUCUGAUAUUGCACUCCAGAGGAAUAUUGCCUGCAUUCCACAAAUUUCAGGAGCUGUAG